CCUAGAAACAGUUUGUACAGAACAAUACACCGAAUCUGUAUACAAAAUCAGAUCUGAUUGGCAACAGUUGCAGAUGUUUUCAAAAGAUUUUCAUCUGAGAAGGGGCCCAUUUGGGUUAUUUAGAUUCUAAGAACUGAAACUGCUUUGUUAGUUCUGUUUUUCUGGCUUCUGGGAGAGGAGGAGACAUGAAUUCAAUUAGCACCUUGGUAUUUUCUUUAUCCUUCAUUUCAAUAGAGGAGAUGCUUCAUAUGCACAGUGGUGUCAGGUCACAUCAAAAGAAAGAGAAACAGUUUCUUGGUUUUUAAUUUUCAACCAAAAAGGAAAGGCAUCCAUUUUGUUCCGCUCUAAUUAGCCAGUGCAUGACUUAGAGAGCAGGCAGAUGCUUUGAAGGCGUGGUCACACAGGUCUUCAUUAAUCUCCACACAGGACUUGCACUUCUACGAUGCCUAGGCUGAAGGAAAUGGCUCAGGAAGACGAACAAUCUCACAGAGCCCUAACUCACUCAAGCCAGGUGUUCUAAAGAACAAGUCAAGAGGCCUCCUCCGACCAAAGCCUGGGCUCAAUGAACAUUCAGUAAAGGAACACGGAAUGUCAACUGCAGUUGCACUAGAGACAACCUUGAGACACAUUCCUCUUGUGGGAACUGCUAUCCAUUCUUUGCAUGGGAUCUGGAUGGAACUGUUGAUCACAGUGUUUUUACUCCCCAUUUUGCCUCACCAAGAGAAGUCAGCUGUGUUUUCUGCUGAGUCUCCAUAGGAACGUCAGUCCUGAAUCCUCAGACCACCACCUGGAGUAGUAAGUGCUCCUGACCAUCCUAGAAGGCGUCUACUGCUGGAUCUCCAAAGCAUGUGACACACCGUAAGAGAGAAAUGAGAAUGCUGAGCUCUUCAGGUAAAGCCUGCUUUUUCACAAGCCCCCUAAUUUUACAACAUAAUUAUUUUGAAUUCACUGAUAAUUUCUACAAUUUUCCCAUAAGUCAUCUACACACAAUUCCCUCUCAUGCAACACUUGGCUUUGCUAAUACAUAUCUAUUAUGAGAGCUGUGCUUCUUAAGCGUAAAUGUUUUAUAUGCACUAAGGCUCUUGGCUUACAUAUAAAAGGGUAUUGAGCAAUGUGAUACAGGAGUCUUUUCUCCACAGUUCUCAUAUGUAAAGAAUUCAUUAGAUUGGCUGAAAUAGACUGAUCUGUCAAUUUCUGUGCUGACUUAUCAUAAGGAAGUCAUUAGCUAAGGAACAAAAAAUACAAUCUAUGUAAUUAGAAGAACAAGCUGGUUUUGCUCAAUAUAAAAAUAAGAAAAAGAAACCAUGUGAAAGUCAAAGCAUUUGUUUAAUCAGGUUAUUGAGAAUCUAUUAAAAAGUAUUUGGAUUCUUUGUAAUGAGAACUAUCUUGACUCAAGUGGACAGUGGUGAGCUUUUUGGCCUUUGGUGCCUACGUAGAAAAGAGGCUUUGUCAUAAAGUCUUACAUGGCACAGGUGUCAAAUUAAGUGCCUAGGCUUGCUCUUUAAAGCACGCUGGAUUCUGUUUUAGUCUUUCAGUGAACUGAAGGGGAUAAACAAAUCCCUCUGGGAGAAUUUCUCCUCCAUCCUUGGUGAAGUCAUUCUGCUAGAAUUCUAUCUGGUAGUUACCUUUUCCGAUUCAUUAAAUGUUGUCCUAGGGCCCAACAUGGGUAAUUUUUCUCUCAUUUGUGAUUAGUUCCACUACAGGGAAUUAAAUAUUCAACUUCUUGCCUUCUGGGAUAUACUCAGCCUUAUCACAGAGUUCUUCCAGGGAAGGAACUUAGAUUCUUUGAAGAACUUCCCUGCCCUUAGCCAAACUGAUUCAGUUGUUAAUUCUGUCCACCUUGCUCCAUUUUCAGGGCAGGAGAAAAAGCAUCUGUGGCAAGUCUGACCUGACAAAGGCUCGUUAAUGCUCGAUAACUGUGAGGACCUGCUAUAAGUCAUGCCUCUUAAGAAAAAAUACACACAUGCACAUACUCACAACAAUAUUGCAACACAACCGUGAUGGCAGCUUGCAUACUGAACCAGCUGUUUCCCUAAAACAUUUUAUUCGGCAUCCUUUCUAGACAGUGACUGCAAAAGACUUAGGUUGGAAAAGUGCAUUAGGUUUUGAUUAACGAUUGGAUGAGAGCCAGUUAAAUUUUUAAAUCUGAAUGAACUUGCUGACUCAGGAGCCUUAGUAGCAUAAUGGACAGACAGUCCUCAAAGCUUUCAUUAAAGGGUUUCUGGUAACUGAUGUCUAGAGAAAUAAGUUGAAAUACAAUUCACUGAACCACUCAGCUUUCAUCUAAAACAGAAUAUGUAAUCUCAAAGAACUCAACCGGUCUCUUGAAAUAUUCAGGUAAAAUUAAAUUUAAAGAAGCUAGAUCUUAAAUAUUUUGAGGAAAGGAAGUCUCCUGUAGCUUUGUGACUAUAUCACUUUAUCCUUUUGAAUGCCAUAUUUAAUUAUAUUUAUUGCAUUUUAAGUACAGCUGGAGUCACCGAUCUGCUGAUAACAAAGUCUAGAAUGGUUUGUGGGAGGUGCUCAGGAUGUAUCCGAGACUGAUUUGAUUUGCAUUUUAUUUUUAACUUUAGUUCCUCUGAACUCCGCCUUCUCAUAUUUUUGUUGUUGUUGUUGUUGUUGCUUAAUACAGUCAUGUGCCACCUAAUGACAGGGAUAUGUUCUGAGAAAUGCAUUAUUAGGCGAUUUUGCCAUUGUGCAAACAUCACCGUGUACUUACAUAAACCAGGAUGGCAUAGCCUUCUACACACCUCUGCUAUAUGGUAGAGCCUAUUACUUCCAGACUAUAAACCUGUAUAGCAUGUUACUGUACUAACUACUGUAGGCAACUGUAACACUGGUAUUUGUGUAUCCAAACCUAUCUAAAUAUAGAAAAGGUACAAUAAAAAUACAGUAUUAUAAUCCUAUGGGACCACUGCUAUAUAUGCAGUUCCAUCAUUGACUGAAACAUUAUGCGGUGCAUGACUAUAAUAGGAACAAACUGUGCCUUUGCAGAAAUCUCCCCAGAAAGCCUCUGAAACUACCUUGAUCUUAGAGGCAGUUUUAUAAAUCACAGCCAGUGAUUCUCAGCCUUUAGGUUGUGCCUGAGAUGUGUCUGCUGUCCUUCUGCAAUGACCCUAGAGGUAAAGGUGCUCUUUCUUCUGUUUCUCAUGAAAAAAUGUAAACGUUUUAUUUUAGAUUCUUUUCCCAGUCUAGUAAUAUCUUGUUAAAUUUACGAGAUUGUAGCAGUGCCUCCAAAAGGGGAUAACAAUAAUAGUUACUUUGAAAAUGGGUGAGUUCUUUGCAGCCAUCUCUGAGUUGAAUGGUUCUUGUGUAAUCUGUCUUCCCAGUUAGGCUGUGAGCCACCUGAAGGCAGCGAGUGUGUCUUUCACUCUUCCCUGAUCUCCUCAGCCGCUCUUCUGCCCCACAAGUUACCAGGCC
This is a long non-coding RNA of Macaca mulatta (Rhesus monkey), 3417 nucleotides long. Lineage: Eukaryota; Metazoa; Chordata; Mammalia; Primates; Cercopithecidae. The record is from Ensembl.